This 497-nucleotide ribosomal RNA is filed under the name uncultured Bradyrhizobium sp. RNAcentral's name for it is "bacterial SSU rRNA". It matches the Rfam family "Bacterial small subunit ribosomal RNA", at positions 10 to 526 of the family's 1533-position model. The record is from RNAcentral. Lineage: Bacteria; Pseudomonadati; Pseudomonadota; Alphaproteobacteria; Hyphomicrobiales; Nitrobacteraceae.
AGUUUGAUCAUGGCUCAGAGCGAACGCUGGCGGCAGGCUUAACACAUGCAAGUCGAGCGGGCGUAGCAAUACGUCAGCGGCAGACGGGUGAGUAACGCGUGGGAACAUACCUUUUGGUUCGGAACAACACAGGGAAACUUGUGCUAAUACCGGAUAAGCCCUUACGGGGAAAGAUUUAUCGCCGAAAGAUUGGCCCGCGUCUGAUUAGCUAGUUGGUGAGGUAAUGGCUCACCAAGGCGACGAUCAGUAGCUGGUCUGAGAGGAUGAUCAGCCACAUUGGGACUGAGACACGGCCCAAACUCCUACGGGAGGCAGCAGUGGGGAAUAUUGGACAAUGGGCGCAAGCCUGAUCCAGCUAUGCCGCGUGAGUGAUGAAGGCCCUAGGGUUGUAAAGCUCUUUUGUCAGGGAAGAAACGGUGCGGGCUAAUAUCCUGUGCUAAUGACGGUACCUGAAGAAUAAGCACCGGCUAACUACGUGCCAGCCGCCGCGGUAAUUC